Molecule: ribosomal RNA, 460 nt
Filed under: uncultured bacterium
Lineage: Bacteria
Description: bacterial SSU rRNA
Rfam family: Bacterial small subunit ribosomal RNA
Source: RNAcentral
AACGAACGCUGGCGGCAUGCCUAACACAUGCAAGUCGAACGGGAUCCUGGCUUCGGUCAGGUGAGAGUGGCGGACGGGUGAGUAACGCGUGGGAACCUGCCCAGUGGUGGGGGAUAACUGCGGGAAACUGCAGCUAAUACCGCAUGAGCCCGAGAGGGGAAAGAUUUAUCGCCAUUGGAGGGGCCCGCGUUCGAUUAGGUAGUUGGUGAGGUAACGGCUCACCAAGCCGACGAUCGAUAGCUGGUCUGAGAGGAUGAUCAGCCACACUGGGACUGAGACACGGCCCAGACUCCUACGGGAGGCAGCAGUGGGGAAUAUUGGACAAUGGGCGAAAGCCUGAUCCAGCAAUGCCGCGUGAGUGAUGAAGGCCUUAGGGUUGUAAAGCUCUUUUACCCGAGAUGAUAAUGACAGUAUCGGGAGAAUAAGCUCCGGCUAACUCCGUGCCAGCAGCCGCGGUAAU